Molecule: ribosomal RNA, 448 nt
Filed under: uncultured bacterium
Lineage: Bacteria
Description: partial 16S ribosomal RNA
Rfam family: Bacterial small subunit ribosomal RNA
Source: RNAcentral
UGCCAGACUCCUACGGGAGGCAGCAGUGGGGAAUAUUGCACAAUGGGGGAAACCCUGAUGCAGCGACGCCGCGUGAGCGAUGAAGUAUUUCGGUAUGUAAAGCUCUAUCAGCAGGGAAGAAAAUGACGGUACCUGACUAAGAAGCCCCGGCUAACUACGUGCCAGCAGCCGCGGUAAUACGUAGGGGGCGAGCGUUAUCCGGAUUCACUGGGUGUAAAGGGAGCGUAGACGGCGAUGCAAGCCAGGAGUGAAAGCCCGGGGCCCAACCCCGGGACUGCUCUUGGAACUGCGUGGCUGGAGUGCAGGAGGGGCAGGCGGAAUUCCUGGUGUAGCGGUGAAAUGCGUAGAUAUCAGGAGGAACACCGGUGGCGAAGGCGGCCUGCUGGACUGCAACUGACGUUGAGGCCCGAAAGCGUGGGGAGCAAACAGGAUUAGAUACCCCCGUAGU